UUUUAUUAGAGUCUAUCACGGAUUUUUCUAAGAUUUCUUUGGUUUAGCCUUGCUUUAGUUUUGUAACUUUCCUUUAUGUGUAUAUUUGCCCAAAAUAAUGAUUUUUAUCUUAUAUCUUCAGGUUUUUGUUGUUUUUUAUUGAUGUGUUGAUGAUGUUUACAUUUACAACUCUUUGUUAUGAUGGCAGAAAAGCACUCCAGGAAGAGAGUAAAAGCGAUUCAAAUUCGGUUAUUUUCAGAUUUUAUGUUAUUGUUGUCGGGAUUUAUGCCGAUGUCCAGUUUUUCAUUAGUUUCCUCAUGCAGAUUCCUGCAUUGUCAUCUUCUGACAAACCAAUGUGAUCGUUGGCCUCUCAUUCGCUUUGUGAAGUGGCCGCGCCAGGAACGACAUUAUGUUGGACGGGGAAUGUAUGAAAGGAGUUUCGAUUUCAUAAAGUAUAUGCUGUUUUGGCUAGUCAUUUUGAGUGCAAAAUUUUUAUUUGCUUACUUUCUUCAGGUACGUGACAUACUCAUAGUUGCCUCCAAAUUGGAAUUAUACUGUUAGAACUGGUAUCUAAAUUAAUUAAAUAUACUGAAUUUACUAGAAUAUUUUAGAUAAUAAAUCUUGAAGCAGUGAUUACAUAUAAUGCAGUAGCAGUUCUUCCUCUGGCCAAAACUGACAGAUUCAUUUUCUGACGUAACAAUUACAGAAGUUACACACAAAUGACAGGAAUUUGAGAGCCCGUCCUCUCCCUAACCAACCGGUUUAUACCAAAUAAUGCCUCAAUUAAAACAACAAACUACUAUUUAUAGAGUUACACACACACUAAUAAAAACAUAACUGACAUAAUUAAAAUAACUUCUCCUAAUAAUAUAAUAACUGCCAUUAAUUACAUAAUAAAUACGUAAUAAUAUUUACUAAUAAGUGGUCUAACGUAUGCAUCUGUUUGUUCUUGUGUGCCUAUAUGUGGGUGAGUGGAUAAUAUUGCUUGUACCUACUGUGCGUAUGCUUAUAUGCUUGUACACUUGAAUGUUUUAUUUUUGAGGUUUUCAGAUCAAGCCACUUGUGAAACCAACAAGGGACAUAAUAAAAGAGAAAAACUUAGUUUACUCUUGUCAUGAUUUUGUAUCUAAAAGUAAGCGGUGGUCUGUUUAAGUUUGUGGUUAUGUCUUUUUGUUUCCUGUUGAUGCUAUUGGCUACUAAAGUGCCUUUAUUUUUGCUGAUAAUCUCAAUGCUUUGACAAUUGUUAGCAUAUGGUCUCCAGUGGUUUUCGUAAGUGCAUCACUGUUUUGCCUUUUUACCCCCUUGUAUGCUUUAGUUCUACUUUUUUCGUUAAUGAUAGCUUUCUUCUCUCGUGGGGAUGAAAUUGUCUUUCAAGAGGUUGUUGAAGUUUGGUGUGAACUAUGAAGUAGCACAGAUAUUAAUGUGAUAUUUAUGUACUAUCAUUUAUGAAGCCUUCUAGCAUUUUAUGUUUAUGUUCAUUUGCACUCAAAACAAGCUUUUCUGCUGAAAGCUAUAUCUUGAAAAACAUGUUUAGCUCUUGUAAGUUGUAACUCAAAUACUCAAAUAAAUAUAUUAUUUUAGGAGGUAUUGAACUAAUAUUGAGUUGGAACAUUUUCAGUACUGAUGGUUGUUUUUGUUAUUGAUUUAUCUCAUCCUUUUCACCUUGACUGUUUCUAUUGUGCAGGAGAAUGAGGAUAGAUAUAUUAUACUACCUAGGAGAUGCUGCUCUGUUUUCCUAUUAAUAUAAAUAAAAUACUUUACAUUUUUUUUUUUUUAGCGUUUAUAAUAUAGCUCCAUUACUAAGAUUUUGCAUCUACAAACGGUUCCCCCCGAGAGCCCCUUGAUUGAUUAUUUGGCUUUCGUCAGACUCACAACGGUAAAUAA
This is a long non-coding RNA of Trifolium pratense (red clover), 1863 nucleotides long. RefSeq lists it as uncharacterized. The transcript is spliced from 3 exons. Lineage: Eukaryota; Viridiplantae; Streptophyta; Magnoliopsida; Fabales; Fabaceae. The record is from RefSeq and is a predicted model, not a curated record.